CGUUCUGUAGUUUAGCUGAUUAAAGCGCCGGUAUAGCCAAUACGGAGACGUGGGUUCAAAUCCCACCAGGACGC
Molecule: non-coding RNA, 74 nt
Organism: Aedes albopictus (Asian tiger mosquito)
Lineage: Eukaryota; Metazoa; Arthropoda; Insecta; Diptera; Culicidae
Source: Rfam